CCCUUAGAUGUCCUGGGCCGCACACGCGCUACACUGAUGCAUUCAACGAGUAAUUAUUCCUUGGCCGAGAGGCCUGGGUAAUCUUUUAAACGUGCAUCGUGAUAGGGAUAGAUUAUUGCAAUUAUUAAUCUUGAACGAGGAAUUCCUAGUAAACGCAGAUCAUCAAUCUGCAUUGAUUACGUCCCUGCCCUUUGUACACACCGCCCGUCGCACCUACCGAUUGAAUGGUUUAGUGAGAUCUUCGGAUUGGCGCCACUGCGGCUCAGCAAUGGGCUCGGUGGAUGCCGAAAAGUUGAUCAAACUUGAUCAUUUAGAGGAAGUAAAAGUCGUAACA
Molecule: ribosomal RNA, 334 nt
Filed under: uncultured eukaryote
Lineage: Eukaryota
Description: partial 18S ribosomal RNA
Rfam family: Eukaryotic small subunit ribosomal RNA
Source: RNAcentral